This is a long non-coding RNA of Anas platyrhynchos (mallard), 924 nucleotides long. RefSeq lists it as uncharacterized. NCBI's taxonomy places the organism in Eukaryota, Metazoa, Chordata, Aves, Anseriformes, Anatidae. The record is from RefSeq and is a predicted model, not a curated record.
AUGACAAGCAGAAACCAUAAAGAGCCACAGAAAAUUAAAGUACCUACUGUCAUCAAAAUGUGGUUGGAAGGCAUUCACACCACACAGUAUAAUUGACUUGAAUGACAUUACACACCAUUGAUUAGUGGAACUAUAUAUUCAAUGGGGAAUUGUUGAAGUUAUUUAUAUUAUACACCCUUUCUAAUUUAUAUUUACCAGCAGGCAUGGGGGGAAGAAGGAGGAAUGGAAAGAAGGGCCGAGGUAUCAAGAGACACCAUGGAUAUGAACAACGUAAGCCAGCACUACAAAGCGGAUAGUCACUACUACCAAACUGAGACCACUGAAGGCUGAAGGACUGGUACCUGAGAAUACGUGAAAUUCCCACUGAUAUGAGACAGAACUGUGCCUCAAUCCCUGCAGGCAAGAGACUGUAAAAUGACUUGACCUGUGAGUCAUGAAGUUAACAGGGCAAACACAAGGCAUAGAACCAACGUGGCUGGUUCCUCAGUCUGCUGUUACUCAGCAUAUGACACUGCUUGCCUUCACACUGCCUGCCUCUACUUUUGGCUUAAUCGCUAAGAUUUUUUGGUGAGAUUUCUUUUUGUGGACUGCAAUAAAAGAGAUAAAAGAUCAAGCUCCACUUUUCCCUUACACGAUUAUGUUUACAUAUACAUAUUAUAAAGUGGUCUUAAUAGGAAAGGUAUAAAAGAAUGAAUCAGAGAAAAGAGACCCUAGUGUAACAUCUAUUACAUCUUUUACAAGUACUCAGAUUUUACAGGGCUGCCUUUAAUGGAUUUUUACAUACGCACAAAGACAUUUCAACUGUACUAAAAUGAAAGGUGUUAUAUUUUAUUCAAACUUCAGAAUGAGUUUUUACGAUGACUUUGUAUUUUUUAUUAGCUAAAUGGAUACGUAUUCAAUAAUGUUACAGUUUAAUUCUUAAAA